Molecule: unclassified non-coding RNA, 248 nt
Filed under: uncultured fungus
Lineage: Eukaryota; Fungi
Description: sequence contains ITS1
Source: RNAcentral
AUGAGUGGUUUUGGUGAUGAUGCAGUUGAUGAGCUGAUCGAAGCCUACGAAAAAAAAUAUGGGAGGAGAAAAGAGUGGCGAAUUCUCAGAGCUAUUCGGAGCCGUUGGACCACCACCCCACCGGUAGAAGCGGUGGACCGCAAUGAGGUUAUCCGUGAGGUGUGGCACGCUGAGUUGAAUCGACUGAAACCCUCCCAAAGGGAAACGCGAGUGAAAGCACUGCAUAAUACCCUUGGGACGCACAAACA